GCCAGACUCCUACGGGAGGCAGCAGUGAGGAAUAUUGGUCAAUGGUCGGGGGACUGAACCAGCCAAGCCGCGUGAGGGAUGAAGGUACAGAGUAUCGUAAACCUCUUUUGUCAGGGAACAAAGGCGGGGACGCGUCCCCGGAUGAGUGUACCUGAAGAAAAAGCAUCGGCUAACUCCGUGCCAGCAGCCGCGGUAAUACGGAGGAUGCGAGCGUUAUCCGGAUUUAUUGGGUUUAAAGGGUGCGCAGGCGGCCUGUUAAGUCAGCGGUCAAAGCCCGGGGCUCAACCUCGUCGAGCCGUUGAAACUGGGUGCCUUGAGUGGGCGAGAAGUACGCGGAAUGCGUGGUGUAGCGGUGAAAUGCAUAGAUAUCACGCAGAACUCCGAUUGCGAAGGCAGCGUACCGGCGCCCAACUGACGCUGAAGCACGAAGGCGUGGGUAUCGAACAGGAUUAGAUACCCCUGUA
Molecule: ribosomal RNA, 464 nt
Filed under: uncultured bacterium
Lineage: Bacteria
Description: bacterial SSU rRNA
Rfam family: Bacterial small subunit ribosomal RNA
Source: RNAcentral